This 497-nucleotide ribosomal RNA is filed under the name uncultured bacterium. RNAcentral's name for it is "partial 16S ribosomal RNA". It matches the Rfam family "Bacterial small subunit ribosomal RNA", at positions 28 to 507 of the family's 1533-position model. The record is from RNAcentral.
GAUGAACGCUGGCGGCGUGCCUAAUACAUGCAAGUCGAGCGAACAGAUGAGGAGCUUGCUCCUCUGACGUUAGCGGCGGACGGGUGAGUAACACGUGGAUAACCUACCUAUAAGACUGGGAUAACUUCGGGAAACCGGAGCUAAUACCGGAUAAUAUAUUGAACCGCAUGGUUCAAUAGUGAAAGACGGUUUUGCUGUCACUUAUAGAUGGGUCCGCGCCGCAUUAGCUAGUUGGUAAGGUAACGGCUUACCAAGGCGACGAUGCGUAGCCGACCUGAGAGGGUGAUCGGCCACACUGGAACUGAGACACGGUCCAGACUCCUACGGGAGGCAGCAGUAGGGAAUCUUCCGCAAUGGGCGAAAGCUUGACGGAGCAACGCCGCGUGAGUGAUGAAGGUCUUCGGAUCGUAAAACUCUGUUAUUAGGGAAGAACAAAUGUGUAAGUAACUAUGCACGUCUUGACGGUACCUAAUCAGAAAGCCACGGCUAACUACGUG